GAUGAAGAACGUAGCGAAAUGCGAUACGUAAUGUGAAUUGCAGAAUUCAGUGAAUCAUCGAGUCUUUGAACGCACAUUGCGCCCCCUGGUAUUCCGGGGGGCAUGCCUGUCCGAGCGUCAUUGCUGCCCUCAAGCACGGCUUGUGUGUUGGGCCUCCGCCCCCCGGCUCCCGGGGGGCGGGCCCGAAAGGCAGCGGCGGCACCGCGUCCGGUCCUCGAGCGUAUGGGGCUUCGUCACCCGCUCCGUAGGCCCGGCCGGCGCCCGCCGGCGACCCCCCUCAAUCUUUCCAGGUUGACCUCGGAUCAGGUAGGGAUACCGCUGAACUUAAGCAUAUCAAUAAGCGGAGGA
RNAcentral lists this unclassified non-coding RNA (348 nucleotides) under soil metagenome. Its description in RNAcentral is "partial contains 5.8S ribosomal RNA, internal transcribed spacer 2, and large subunit ribosomal RNA". The stretch from base 1 to 120 matches the Rfam family "5.8S ribosomal RNA", at positions 35 to 154 of the family's 154-position model. The record is from RNAcentral.